CUGACAUCACACAGCGCGUCAGGUCGCGGCGUGCGUACGUCAGUGCAGCGCGGGACCAUGUAUGUGCUGUGGAGUGUACGGAGGCCCCUUGCUGGAAAGGUGAGUAUUGCAGGCCAGCGGGAGACCACGGAGCGGGAGUAAUAGCAAGCGCUUCACUCCCGCUCCGUGGUCACUUGACACA
Long non-coding RNA from Bufo bufo (common toad), 181 nucleotides. RefSeq lists it as uncharacterized. NCBI's taxonomy places the organism in Eukaryota, Metazoa, Chordata, Amphibia, Anura, Bufonidae. The transcript is spliced from 2 exons. The record is from RefSeq and is a predicted model, not a curated record.